RNAcentral lists this ribosomal RNA (260 nucleotides) under uncultured bacterium. Its description in RNAcentral is "partial 16S ribosomal RNA". It matches the Rfam family "Bacterial small subunit ribosomal RNA", at positions 13 to 271 of the family's 1533-position model. The record is from RNAcentral.
UUGAUCAUGGCUCAGAUUGAACGCUGGCGGCAGGCCUAACACAUGCAAGUCGAGCGGUAACAGGGGAAGCUUGCUUCUCGCUGACGAGCGGCGGACGGGUGAGUAAUGUAUGGGGAUCUGCCCGAUAGAGGGGGAUAACCACUGGAAACGGUGGCUAAUACCGCAUAAUCUCUUAGGAGCAAAGCAGGGGAACUUCGGUCCUUGCGCUAUCGGAUGAACCCAUAUGGGAUUAGCUAGUAGGUGGGGUAAUGGCUCACCUA